CCGCCUGUCACGCUCUCCUCACCUGGGACCUUAUCUUGCUUUUGGUUACGGAAUAGGAGGCCUGAGUGUAGAGCGGUUUUCGCCUUUGUUUCCCUCUCAUACUUUCCCCUCCCAUGGCGCCUAAAAAGCUACUGCUGAUACUGCGGAGCUAGUUAGUAUCGGCUCUAUGAUGUGCGUUCUUCCAGUAGGAGAUUUUCCGAGGGAGCGAGCCACCUGGUUCCACACCACAAAGACACAGAGGACACCGGACCACCAGACCACUGUACUGGAGGCAGCUUUUGAACCAACCACAAGGAUUUUAGACAAAACAGGAACAAACCAAAAGAGAUCAUCUUAUAACUUGGAGCAAGGAUGGACCUCAACAUGGUUCCCAGCUUUGAAUUUUCAUGCCUGAGGAAUCAUAACAGCCUCACAUCUCUUCUCCACCUCUUCUCCUCUCAUCUCUUCAUCACCACUCUCUCCUGUACUGCUGUGUCCUGACACUCGAGGACAGUUCUGGAAUUGAAGGUCAGAAUCCUGUGUUGCUCGGAAUGGGGUUGCUGAUGGGUUUUAAGGGCACAGAGCCAGAGCCCAAAGGAAAGGGGAGGAAGUGCAGUGCCUGUGGCUCCAUGGAGGAGGCAGCUCAGGGCUGGUCACUCUGUCCCUCCCACAAUACCAACUUCCUACUCCUCUUUUUCCUGAAGGUGCCCCUGCUACUGGUUAUGUCCAAAGCCAUCCUCUGGGUGAAUAAGCCUCAGAGGCCUCCUUGUGGGAAGACAGCAUCAAGCUGCAAGACUCCUGCGACUCCCAUGUCCACUGAUGCCCACAGCCUUUCAGACUCCAGAAGGAACCCCUGAUCCUGGGCCUUAUGUUUAUCUUCAUCUUAUUGCUAGAUACCUUUUAAAAUGUAAAAAUAAUUAAAUAAAAUAUAUGAUGUCCAUAGUUUGAGGACCAAAAUAA
RNAcentral lists this long non-coding RNA (939 nucleotides) under Heterocephalus glaber (naked mole-rat). RNAcentral describes it as "lncRNA (ENSHGLG00000036015.1)". Lineage: Eukaryota; Metazoa; Chordata; Mammalia; Rodentia; Bathyergidae. The record is from RNAcentral.